UGGUCGGGAUAGCUCAGCUGGUAGAGC
This 27-nucleotide transfer RNA is filed under the name Loxocarpus semitortus. RNAcentral's name for it is "partial tRNA-Phe". The record is from RNAcentral. Lineage: Eukaryota; Viridiplantae; Streptophyta; Magnoliopsida; Lamiales; Gesneriaceae. RNAcentral also lists the same sequence under 2 other names.